RNAcentral lists this ribosomal RNA (475 nucleotides) under uncultured bacterium. Its description in RNAcentral is "bacterial SSU rRNA". It matches the Rfam family "Bacterial small subunit ribosomal RNA", at positions 373 to 848 of the family's 1533-position model. The record is from RNAcentral.
GGACGCAAGUCUGAUCCAGCCAUGCCGCGUGAAGGAUUAAGGCCCUCUGGGUUGUAAACUUCUUUUAUAGGGGACGAAAAAAGGGUUUUCUAACUCGUCUGACGGUACCCUAUGAAUAAGCACCGGCUAACUCCGUGCCAGCAGCCGCGGUAAUACGGAGGGUGCAAGCGUUAUCCGGAUUCACUGGGUUUAAAGGGUGCGUAGGCGGGCAGUUAAGUCAGUGGUGAAAUCUUCGAGCUUAACUCGGAAACUGCCAUUGAUACUAUCUGUCUUGAAUACUGUGGAGGUGAGCGGAAUAUGUCAUGUAGCGGUGAAAUGCUNAGAUAUGACAUAGAACACCGAUUGNGAAGGCAGCUCGCUACACAAAUAUUGACGCUGAGGCACGAAAGCGUGGGGAUCAAACAGGAUUAGAUACCCUGGUAGUCCACGCCCUAAACUAUGGAUACUCGACAUUUGCGAUACACAGUAAGUGUCU